RNAcentral lists this unclassified non-coding RNA (348 nucleotides) under soil metagenome. RNAcentral describes it as "partial contains 5.8S ribosomal RNA, internal transcribed spacer 2, and large subunit ribosomal RNA". The stretch from base 1 to 121 matches the Rfam family "5.8S ribosomal RNA", at positions 35 to 154 of the family's 154-position model. The record is from RNAcentral.
GAUGAAGAACGUAGCGAAAUGCGAUAAGUAAUGCGAAUUGCAGAAUUUCCGUGAGUCAUCGAAUCUUUGAACGCACAUUGCGCCCAUUGGCAUUCCGAUGGGCAUGCCUGUUCGAGCGUCAUUAUCCUCCCUCAAACCCCUGGGUUUGGUGUUGGACUGUGUGGUGCCUGGCACCACUGGUCUCAAAGACAAUGACGGCGUCCGUGGGACCCUCGGUGCAACGAGCUUUUCGAAGCACGCGUCGAGUGGACAGUCUCUCCGGGCCGGUCACCUCUCCAAUCUUUCUCAGGUUGACCUCGGAUCAGGUAGGAAUACCCGCUGAACUUAAGCAUAUCAAUAAGCGGAGGA